This is an RNA transcript of Zea mays, 6969 nucleotides long. RefSeq lists it as uncharacterized. Lineage: Eukaryota; Viridiplantae; Streptophyta; Magnoliopsida; Poales; Poaceae. The record is from RefSeq and is marked validated. The transcript is spliced from 12 exons.
ACGAGGGCGCGCGGGCCCCGGUCGUCAGCGCCCGUGACGCGCUGCGACUGACUGCUAGAUGUGAAGAAAGAAUGUGCUCGGCUGCUCGCCGUAUAAAAAAUCUCGUUACCCUCACACUCCGGGUCCGGGGGGGCCUCGUCUUCCUCGCUCCGCCACCGCCACGCUGAAAACCCACGCGCUAAGCGCACCCCGCCAAGUCUACCAGACGCUCUCCGGAGCGGCACGCGCGCGCCAAUGGCGGGGCCUUGAGGUGCUCGUGGGGUGAGGGAGGGAGGACGGCGCUGGUUAGUGAGGGCGUUAAGCGGCGGCUCGGCGCGGCGGGCGGGGAGGAUGAUACGGCACCAGAUACGGAACGAGUAUGGGCUGGCGGAUCCGGAGGUGUACGCGGCCCCGGGGGAGGAGGAUGACCCGGAGGCGCUCCUCGAGGGCGUCGCCAUGGCCGGCCUCGUCGGCGUGCUCCGCCAGCUCGGGGAUCUCGCCGAGUUUGCAGCUGAAAUUUUUCAUGACCUUCACGAAGAGGCUAUGGCUACUGCUUCUAGAGGACAUGGUUUAAUGCUCCGGUUGCAGCAGUUGGAGGCAGAAUUUCCAGCAGUUGAAAAGGCUAUUAUAUCUCAGACGGAGCACUCAAAUUAUCCACAUGAUGAUGGAGCUGAGUGGCAUUCUAAUGUUCAACUUAAACAGAAUGUGAUCACACAAGGAGAUAUGCCUCGUUUCAUUAUGGAUUCAUAUGAAGAAUGUCGUGGUCCGCCACAAUUGUUCACAUUGGAUAAGUUUGAUGUUGCUGGUGCUGGAGCCUCCUUAAAACGAUAUUCAGACCCUUCUUUCUUCAAGACAGAACAUGCCUCCAACAUGAUAGAAGCGGAUGUUUUAAUUGAAAAUAAACCUCGUAGAAUUAAGAAGAAGGCCAUGCGUUGGAGGAAAGGGGCAACUCUUGAAUCAUUACUCACUGCAAACUCAGAGUCUCAAAUUACCCCCAAGGAUCGAACUUCUAGAAAAGUUCCACCUAGGACAACAAAGUUGAAAUCCAGGCAACCACGGAGUCCUGAUCAUAAAACCACUAGCAGAAUCUUGAGGGAGCAUCUGCAAGAAGUGAUUUUAUCGCAGAAAAAAAUCAUCUCCAGAUAUUCGGUGAGGCAUUACUAUGUGAAAUUUGGAUCGCCUGACUCAAGUGAAACUGCACCUCCUUUUGGAGAAAUGGACAGUUUUGGCGCCCUUGUUCAAUCUUCUGGUAAAUUGGAUCUGACAAAAGUUGUUCCAGUAAACGAAUCUGAUGCUGUGGAUACUAAAUCUGAACCCAUUGAUGGAUCGGCUUAUUUGGAGCUAGGUGAUAAACGGAAUCUGGGGAAACAACAUGAACCUUUUCAACAAAAUGGCAUGGUCCAUAGCUCAGAAAAGCUGCCGGAUUGUCCAUACUUGGAUAUUGGAGAAAGUAAUAACAGAUCACAUUUGACAUGUGAAGAGAAACCCCGAUUGGCUGAGGUUCCUGCUGAUCAGAAAGAUGUUGAUGGCCGCAGGCCUGAUGACAUCGUGAGUGAUCAAGACAACUUCAUUGGUGCUUCUAAUGACACGGACAUGGAAAACAAAGAAGGUCUUCAAAUGAAAACUGAAUGUGAUCCCAGUGCCAGUGUUGAACUGGUUGAAUUGAACCGUCACAACAAGGAAGGUGACAAAGUAUUGUAUGCCGAACCUCCAGAAGUAGGUCCUGCAAUAGACUCGUCAUUGGGAUUGGAUAAUGCAAGCAGUGGUGAAGAACCAACCUGUGUGGACUUGCCACUGUCAAGUGAUUCUGCUCCCACAGUGUCAGCCACCAAUGGUCCAAACUCUGGUUCACAAUCUGGCAGACAAAUGAAUGGUGUUGACUGGUCCACAGACGAAGAGUCUUCUAACGAUGUGGAUCUAAUUGACGUGAGCUCAUCUUCUAGUGUAGUUUCUGAAAAUGGUGACGUACAAAACAAUGAUUGUCUCGUUAGUUGUCUACAACACGAGGAAGCGAUUCACUCUCUGAGUGAUGAUCAUGCUGGUGCUAUCCAUAAUUCUGAUGAACAGUCACCGAAUACGUCUAGCAACUGGGAUGAUAUGGCUAUUGGCUGCAACAAUUACACCGAGAAAGUACAUCAUCCAGUGGAGCAUGUCCAGGAUGUUGUACUAGAUGAUAUUUCUAUGAUACUGAGCAAACCUAAUGAUGUUUCAGAAGACGAAGAUAAAAUCAGUUCAGGGAAUGCUGAUGAUUUGUCUCUCCACCCUACCAAAUUGAACCAAGAGGAAAUACAGGAGUUGAAGACAGAAUCGGAAGAAGGCAGAUCUCUAGAAUCAGGAAGUUCACCUAGCAAAGCAUCAUUGCCAAAUAAGGAUCAUGUGUCGAUGAAUGAUGUAGAAGCCGACACUGUUACAAUUCCUAAAGAAACUGUUGCAGAUACUGCACCAACAGGUUUGGAUCCUGAUGGCAUCGACGAGCGUCAAGAUGGAGUUGCACCGAAAUAUUCAAGCAUCCACAAUAGUGUACUGUAUGAAUCAUAUGAUGACAAGAUUGCUGAAGACACACACUCUUUACUAGAUGAUGGCCUAUCAACUACUUUCGAUGACGAUAAGCAUGUUGCAGAGGAUCAUCAAUUUGUUGUUCUUGAACAAAGGACUUGUCCAACUAGCCUCAACACAUGCAAGGAUGAUUCUAUGCAAGGAUGUGCCGUGGCCAGGGAUUUCACUGAUGCUGAAAAGCUUCCGGGAGUCGUUUCAGGUGUAUUAGCUUCUCAACUGGAGACAGAAUCUCAUGUAGGAGAGACACUUGCAUCCACGUCCUAUGCAUUCAGUGAUGAUACUGAAGCACUAGAGAUUGGUGUCCCUCUAGCCCCUGGUACUUCCUUUCUACCUAACACCAGUAGUUCCUUGGUAGAAAAACAUGAAUUGACUGAAACAGAAGAAAUUGCAGAGGUUGGUGAAUUUGUGGUUGCAAAAGAAUCAACUACUAGCGUAUUUGCAGUUGAUGUGGUACCUCCCAAAGAGUUCAUUGAUGCUAACAUACAUCCUGAAAAGGUAGAGGUUCUGGCUACAAGUUUGACUGAAGAAGCCACUAGGCUGGAUUUACAACUACAGUCUCCUUCCAGGGAAGUUUUGGAAACAACGGAAGCUAUUCACAGAAAUUUUGGGGCAGUAGAUGAAUCAAGAGAAGAUAUCUCUAAGAAGAGUAUGUUGCAGACAGACAAUAGUCCUCUUAUUGUAGAGACUACAAGUGAAAAAUGUAGUGACAGGGAUGGUGAUACACAAUUUCUAGUAAAAUCUGAUUAUCAAGAGGAAUUACUAAAAGAGGGCAGUCAUAAUGCUGAAGAUCGAUCUCUCUGCGAUUUGAACAAGGAUGGUGCAGUAACCUUGAAAAGUAAUGCAGUUGAGAAACAACCAGUGAAUGCUGGUCAAGAUUUGGCGUGGGGGAUGCACGCUCAAGAUUCUAGUAGUACAAACCCGUUCCUGGAUCCUGCCUACUUGAUGAGCCACACUCAAAUUUAUUCAUCUUCCAGUAUGAGUAGCCAACCAUGUUUCCCUGAAGAAGAGGAUUUCCUUUCAGAGCUUGUAAUACAACAUGACAAUAUGGGAGUAACUGCUGAUGCCCUUUGGGAACCUGCAACUCCACCUGAUGAUGCGCCAUUACCAUCAGAAAUUAUGACUGAAGAUGAUUUCAGAUCCUUCUGCCAAGAAUAUCAUGAGAUAGAUUUUUCAUCUGUCACUAACUGUUCUCACAGUGAACCAGCCUCAGAUUCUAACAAAAUUCCAAAUGCUUUUCUGAUCAGAGAGUCAGAUUUUCCAUGUUAUAACUCUGCCUUGCCAGUGAAGUUAGAUCAGGAAGCCUGUAUUCAUUCUAAGUUCUGUUCUGAGUGUGUCGAAUAUUCAUGUGCUGUGGAAAGACAAGGCACUACAUCAAUGGUUGUUUCUGGUAAAGAAGAUCGCGUGGGCAAGGACGAGACACCAGGAGUAGAUUUCCAUUUAAAUUUUCUCGAGUUUUCCAAUGAUAACAGAAGUCCUGAAUUAAAUAUGCUCUCCGUUCCAGUGGAUUUACGGCAGGAACUGCAUGGCUUGCCUGAAGUUGAUUCUCGUGAUAGUUCCCCUUUGCUGCAUAAGGAGAAGACUAGUGAAGAAUGCUGCUUUUCUUUAAGCAACAACGUUGUUGAAGUGAAACAAGAGCUGGAAAUCCGUGCUGACCUUGUUCCACAUUCUUCUAUUAAUGAAAAAGUAGAUGGAUUAGAUGAGGCUGUACCGGUGGAACCAGAGGCCCAUGCCUGUGCCUUGGAUGAAUAUGACAACCAAGAUGUCCCACACAUUUCAACUAGUGAGAAGAAUGAAACCCUUACUUUGGGCAAACCUGUUUUAGUCCAGGGGCCAGAAGUUUGUGCCUUUGGUGGAUUUGAAUGUGAUCCUCCAAUCAUUCCAUCACCUUCAGUUGAUGAGACUAAGGACAAUCUAGAAGUCAGAAUGAAUAUGAUCCUCCAAUCAUUCCAUCAUUCUUUGAGGACUUCUUUUCAAGCAGAACAGAAGUCAGAAUGCUACACCUCAGGUGAACAUGAUUCUCAAACCGUUCCAUUUCCUUUGCAUGAUGAGAAUAUCAAUGAACUGGAUGAUCCUCCUUUGAGCAAUGCUGACGAACUGGACCGGGAAUCAAAAGCUUGUGUUCCACAUGAAUGUGAUGCUCAAAUCGCUCCAUGUUCAACUGAUGAGGAUAUACAUGAAUUGGAUCACCCUCCUUUGAGCAGUCCCGCUUUAGUGGAUCUUGAAUCAGAAGACCAUGUCUCGGAUGACCGUGAUUCCGAAGUCACCCCAUGUUUGGUUAAAGAUAAGAUUGAUGAAUCUGUAGAUGCUCAACCAAACCUGCUUCCUGGGGAGCUAGAGCAGGAAACUCAUGCACCCCCUGAAUUAGACUUUCGAGUUGCUCCACAAUCAGCGAAAGAAUCUGAUUGCUCAACUGAAUUUGAUUCCCAGGCCGCACCAUGUUCUUCAAAUAUACCAGUACUAGCUAACACAACAGUGUCGACUUGUAUUUCUGCCAUGCCUAGCAGUGAGGAAACGUAUCAGUUGUCUCCUGUUCCACCACCUACUGUACAAUUUCAAAAUGAUUCCUACAAAGAUCCUCAAGCUCUACUCGCUGAUUCCUACAAAGAUCCUCAAGCGCCACCCCCUCUCCCUCCUCUCCAGUGGAGGCUUGGAAAGCCUCGGCUAGGACUUCUGAGUAGAAAAGGCUGUAUGACUGAACCUGCAAGGGUAAUAGAUCCUGUUUUGCAGAUAUCAAGCCAAGAGAUGGAUAUUAGGCCAGGUUUGCUUGAUCCAACGGAUAGAUCUAUAGAACCAGUAUCCUGUCAAGAAAUCAAAGAAGAUAGAUGUGAGAGUUCUUUGAUAGAUCAUAAUGAUCAAAAUGUGGAUUUUGAUAGAUUAUCGACCAGGGUUGCAGUAACUGAUGUUGCAAGGACUGAACACAGGCUAUCCUUAGAGACUUCAGAGGACAUUAAGCAACAGGGGCAUAUUUCUUCAUCGGCAACAGGAGUUGGGGAACACCUGGAUGCUGGGUUCACAUCAACAAUGGCAGAUGAGGAACAUCUGGAUGAUUCUGGGAUGACACAUGGAACAGCUCUAUACUUAUCAGACCCUCUGUUUCCAUUACCUACAUAUGAACUGCAGGACCCUCAACCAGAUACUCGAGAAAAUAGCGAGCAUCCCAGUCAAACACAUGGAGCUGCAUCUGGGGAUGAUAAGUCAAUGGAUGCUGUUGGCAGCAUGGAAAGCACCCUAACAAAAGGACAUGUUUCUGGAAAUAGGUGCUACCAGCAACCUCAGCAUGGUGAAUCGUCCUCAGAGACUUCAGACCAUAAAGAGCAUAUUACAAAUGCAUCAGAGGAUGGUGUUAAGCAUCAGUCAGGUACAAGUGAGGCACCUUCAGACACAGCAAAGCAUUCUGCACCAGGCACGCUGUUGAAAGGGAAUGUCCAAGAGAGUCAAAUUUUACAGGAACAUAAUGUGGGGAGUUCCGAGGACGAUCAACCAGGAGGCCUGUUGUACAGCUUAGAACCAGUGGCACCUCAAGGGGAAAACAAAAACCAGGUUAACAACCCAGGCCUGUUACUGGAAUGGCCUGGAGAUACAAGUGAGUUGGUCACUGGCCUUGAAAAAAGUUGCUAUGCGCAUGCUGAGCAGCCACCUGUGAUGGGAUGGACUGUUGGACCUCAGAUGCUUCAUCCUAAAUAUGGUAUUUUAGAAGAAGAGAGCCAAUUUGAGCCUAAUAUCGCCGACAAUCAUUUAAUCAGGAAGCCUAUUUCGAUAAAAAACAUCCCAAGGAAUCCACUGGUUGAUGCUGUUGCUGCUCAUGAUAGAAGCUCGAUGAGAAAGGUUUCAGAGCUUGCACCACCGACUGACAAGCCGAAGCCUAACGAGAGAAACAUGUUGCUAGAACAGAUAAGAAACAAGACCUUCAGCUUGAAACCUGUUGCUCCAGCUCAGCAAACAGCAAUGAGAUCCCCUGCUAGAACCAGUACUAGAAACUUGAAGGUUGCCGCUAUCAUAGAAAAGGCAAAUGCCAUACGACAGGCAGUGGGAAGUGACGACGAAGACGCAGAUAGUUGGAGUGAUACAUAAAUCCCCCACCGUUUGCCCUACCCUCUUGGUGCUUCUUUCCAUGGCAGAAAGGUACCGAUUCAUCAAGAGCAUUGGGGACAGGAUGGGGAUGCACAACCAUGUCAUCGUUUUUGUUAGUAAUAUAAUGCUAGUCUUGUGUAUAGUAUACGCCCAUAAUCCUUUUCAUUUUUUGUAUGUGUAUUCUUUCGACCGAUUGUUUGUAUACCUGCCUCUCUCUCCCACAGCAGCAAAGGCUGUUGCGGUUGGCAUGAUCCUAGGAUAGCAUGCAUGGUCUAUGUAAAUUAAACAGUAGUAGUUAAGUAAAGAAUUGUUCCAUCUUUUCUGGAAAAAAAGGUGAGAUAAUGGCAUCAUCGAUUCCACACA